Molecule: ribosomal RNA, 481 nt
Filed under: uncultured bacterium
Lineage: Bacteria
Description: partial 16S ribosomal RNA
Rfam family: Bacterial small subunit ribosomal RNA
Source: RNAcentral
GAUGAACGCUGGCGGCGUGCUUAACACAUGCAAGUCGAACGAAGCACUUUAUUUGAUUUCCUUCGGGACUGAUUAUUUUGUGACUGAGUGGCGGACGGGUGAGUAACGCGUGGGGAACCUGCCUUGUACAGGGGGAUAACAGUUGGAAACGGCUGCUAAUACCGCAUAAGCGCACGGCAUCGCAUGAUGCAGUGUGAAAAACUCCGGUGGUAUAAGAUGGACCCGCGUUGGAUUAGCUAGUUGGUGAGGUAACGGCCCACCAAGGCGACGAUCCAUAGCCGACCUGAGAGGGUGACCGGCCACAUUGGGACUGAGACACGGCCCAAACUCCUACGGGAGGCAGCAGUGGGGAAUAUUGCACAAUGGGCGAAAGCCUGAUGCAGCGACGCCGCGUGAGCGAAGAAGUAUUUCGGUAUGUAAAGCUCUAUCAGCAGGGAAGAUAAUGACGGUACCUGACUAAGAAGCACCGGCUAAAUACGUG